This 374-nucleotide ribosomal RNA is filed under the name uncultured bacterium. RNAcentral's name for it is "bacterial SSU rRNA". It matches the Rfam family "Bacterial small subunit ribosomal RNA", at positions 524 to 898 of the family's 1533-position model. The record is from RNAcentral.
UACGUAGGUCCCGAGCGUUGUCCGGAUUUAUUGGGCGUAAAGCGAGCGCAGGUGGUUUAUUAAGUCUGGUGUAAAAGGCAGUGGCUCAACCAUUGUAUGCAUUGGAAACUGGUAGACUUGAGUGCAGGAGAGGAGAGUGGAAUUCCAUGUGUAGCGGUGAAAUGCGUAGAUAUAUGGAGGAACACCGGUGGCGAAAGCGGCUCUCUGGCCUGUAACUGACACUGAGGCUCGAAAGCGUGGGGAGCAAACAGGAUUAGAUACCCUGGUAGUCCACGCCGUAAACGAUGAGUGCUAGAUGUAGGGAGCUAUAAGUUCUCUGUAUCGCAGCUAACGCAAUAAGCACUCCGCCUGGGGAGUACGACCGCAAGGUUGAA